GUUGUAUGGUUAAGUGACUAAGCGUACACGGUGGAUGCCUUGGCAGUCAGAGGCGAUGAAGGACGUAUUAACUUGCGAUAAGCCCAGAUUAGGUAGUAAAAACCAUUUGAGUCUGGGAUUUCCGAAUGGGGAAACCCAAUACCAUAAGGUAUUACUGUUGAGUGAAUACAUAGCUCAACAGGGCGAACCGGGGGAACUGAAACAUCUAAGUACCCCGAGGAAAAGAAAUCAACCGAGAUUCCGAAAGUAGCGGCGAGCGAAAUUGGACUAGCCCUUAAGCUUUACACGCGUUAGACGAACGGUCUGGAAAGGCCGACGAUACAGGGUGAUAGUCCCGUAGUUGACGACGUGUGUUCAGUGAAAUCGAGUAGGGCGGGACACGUGAUAUCCUGUCUGAAUAUGGGGGGACCAUCCUCCAAGGCUAAAUACUACUGACUGACCGAUAGUGAACCAGUACCGUGAGGGAAAGGCGAAAAGAACCCCUGUGAGGGGAGUGAAAUAGAACCUGAAACCGUGUACGU
Molecule: ribosomal RNA, 521 nt
Filed under: Vibrio alginolyticus
Lineage: Bacteria; Pseudomonadati; Pseudomonadota; Gammaproteobacteria; Vibrionales; Vibrionaceae
Description: partial 23S ribosomal RNA
Rfam family: Bacterial large subunit ribosomal RNA
Source: RNAcentral